GUGGGAUAUCCUCCCUUCUAGCUGAUGGUUUAGCUGUUGCUGUACAGGCAAUUCUAGCAUGUGCCUUUGCUGAGAAAAAUUUUGACAAAGUAACGGCUGAAGGAUCAAAAGGAGAGGAAAAAGCAGGAAAUUAGGACUCAUAAUGCUCAGUUGCAUGUUGCAGUAUCCGUGGCAGGCCUAGUUGCUGCCGUUGCGGCCAUUGCAGCUUCAAUAGAGUGUACAUUGUAGAAUCAAUAGAGUGUACAUAGCAGCCAUAAGAAAGUGUACAUAGCUGCCAUAAAGUUCUACACUUACCAUAUGAGUGGUCUCUAGCUUAGCUUGCAUUGUUCAAGAAAUUUUAGAAAAUUCUAAGGAUACUACUCUACUAAUGUUUGUGAGACAUGAAUGUAAUUUUCACUCCAUAUGGAUGUACAAGUGUAUAUUAUUGAAUAAGUAGAGUUAUAUGCAAAGAAAUAUUAUAUAGAUAAUCUAUUUUUCAUAUAUCUCAAAGAAGAAAAAAAUAA
This is a non-coding RNA of Arachis ipaensis, 503 nucleotides long. NCBI's taxonomy places the organism in Eukaryota, Viridiplantae, Streptophyta, Magnoliopsida, Fabales, Fabaceae. The record is from RefSeq and is a predicted model, not a curated record.